UCACGGUCUCAAGCGUGGCUUGAUGUUGGGCCCUGUCACCUGGUGACAGGUCCGAAAGACAAUGACCGGCGUCACAGACUCCCGAUGCAACGAGCUUAUCACAGCAGGCAUCGGGCGGUUGUGUGACCCGGUUUCCACCCUUUCUUUCUCCA
This 152-nucleotide unclassified non-coding RNA is filed under the name uncultured Chaetothyriales. RNAcentral's name for it is "sequence contains ITS2". Lineage: Eukaryota; Fungi; Ascomycota; Eurotiomycetes; Chaetothyriales. The record is from RNAcentral.